AGAAUCAACGCUGGCGGCGUGCCUAACACAUGCAAGUCGAACGAGAAAGGGUAGCAAUACCUGAGUAAAGUGGCGCACGGGUGAGUAACACGUGACUAACCUACCUUUUAGUGGGGGAUAACCUAGGGAAACCUGGGCUAAUACCGCAUAAUACCUACGGGUCAAAGCAGCAAUGCGCUGAAUGAGGGGGUCGCGGUCGAUUAGUUAGUUGGCAGGGUAAUGGCCUACCAAGACUGUGAUCGAUAUCCGGCCUGAGAGGGCGCACGGACACACUGGAACUGAAACACGGUCCAGACUCCUACGGGAGGCAGCAGUGGGGAAUUUGCGCAAUGGGGGAAACCCUGACGCAGCAACGCCGCGUGGAGGAUGAAGUCCCUUGGGACGUAAACUCCUUUCGAUCGGGACGAUAAUGACGGUACCGGAAGAAGAAGCCCCGGCUAACUUCGUGCCAGCAGCCGC
RNAcentral lists this ribosomal RNA (459 nucleotides) under uncultured bacterium. RNAcentral's name for it is "SSU rRNA". It matches the Rfam family "Bacterial small subunit ribosomal RNA", at positions 26 to 518 of the family's 1533-position model. The record is from RNAcentral.